RNAcentral lists this ribosomal RNA (465 nucleotides) under uncultured bacterium. Its description in RNAcentral is "partial 16S ribosomal RNA". It matches the Rfam family "Bacterial small subunit ribosomal RNA", at positions 28 to 506 of the family's 1533-position model. The record is from RNAcentral.
GAUGAACGCUGGCGGCGUGCUUAACACAUGCAAGUCGAACGAUGAAGCCCAGCUUGCUGGGUGGAUUAGUGGCGAACGGGUGAGUAACACGUGAGUAACCUGCCCUUAACUCUGGGAUAAGCCUGGGAAACUGGGUCUAAUACCGGAUAGGAGCGUCCACCGCAUGGUGGGUGUUGGAAAGAUUUAUCGGUUUUGGAUGGACUCGCGGCCUAUCAGCUUGUUGGUGAGGUAAUGGCUCACCAAGGCGACGACGGGUAGCCGGCCUGAGAGGGUGACCGGCCACACUGGGGCUGAGACACGGCCCAGACUCCUACGGGAGGCAGCAGUGGGGAAUAUUGCACAAUGGGCGCAAGCCUGAUGCAGCGACGCCGCGUGAGGGAUGACGGCCUUCGGGUUGUAAACCUCUUUCAGUAGGGAAGAAGCGAAAGUGACGGUACCUGCAGAAGAAGCACCGGCUAACUACGU